GACGAACGCUGGCGGCGUGCUUAACACAUGCAAGUCGAACAGAAAGGCCCUGCUUUUGUGGGGUGCUCGAGUGGCGAACGGGUGAGUAACACGUGAGUAACCUGCCCUUGACUUUGGGAUAACUUCAGGAAACUGGGGCUAAUACCGGAUAGGAGCUCCUGCUGCAUGGUGGGGGUUGGAAAGUUUCGGCGGUUGGGGAUGGACUCGCGGCUUAUCAGCUUGUUGGUGGGGUUGUGGCUUACCAAGGCUUUGACGGGUAGCCGGCCUGAGAGGGUGACCGGCCACAUUGGGACUGAGAUACGGCCCAGACUCCUACGGGAGGCAGCAGUGGGGAAUAUUGCACAAUGGGCGGAAGCCUGAUGCAGCAACGCCGCGUGCGGGAUGACGGCCUUCGGGUUGUAAACCGCUUUCGCCUGUGACGAAGCGUGAGUGACGGUAAUGGGUAAAGAAGCACCGGCUAACUACGUG
RNAcentral lists this ribosomal RNA (468 nucleotides) under uncultured bacterium. RNAcentral's name for it is "partial 16S ribosomal RNA". It matches the Rfam family "Bacterial small subunit ribosomal RNA", at positions 28 to 507 of the family's 1533-position model. The record is from RNAcentral.